CCCUUAGAUGUUCGGGGCCGCACGCGCGCUACAAUGAGUCGAUCAACGAGCGUAUAUUAUUAUCCAAGUCCGAAAGGUCGAGGUAAUCCGUUGAACCCGACUCGUGCUAGGGAUAGGGAAUUGUAAUUGUUUCCCUUGAACGAGGAAUUCCCAGUAAGCGAAAGUCAUCAGCUUGCGUUGAUUACGUCCCUGCCCUUUGUACACACCGCCCGUCGCUACUACCGAUUGAAUGGUUCAGUGAGAUAAUCGGACAGAUAACUUGGCAACUGGCAACAGUUGACGUGCAUAUUUGGAAGACGAUCAAACUUGGUCAUUUAGAGGAAGUAAAAGUCGUAACA
Molecule: ribosomal RNA, 338 nt
Filed under: uncultured eukaryote
Lineage: Eukaryota
Description: partial 18S ribosomal RNA
Rfam family: Eukaryotic small subunit ribosomal RNA
Source: RNAcentral